UGAACUCAGGUCCUUGAGCUUGCAAGACAGUAGGUGGAACCACUGAGCUAAAUCCCCAGCCCUCAAGGAUGGCUUUUAAAUCAACCUACUCAGCAUUAUUUACUCAGUCAAAUGCUUCAGGAAAGCAUAUCAAAUCCACAAUCAGCAGUCCAUUUGCAAAAGUUCUGUGUGCAUCCCUAAGGCUAUGUUGGACUUGAAGGCAGCGGCACCACUGAGCUAAAUCCCCGACUCCAUUUUAUAUAUAAGGAAGCAGAGACAACAAAAAGCAAGAGGCCCUGAAGGACUAUGAAAACAUUUACAGCUCCAAGUUGGAGAGAUGUGGGUUUCCAUAUUUCAUGGUAUCUCUGGAAAAGAAAGGAGAUUUAUGCACAGGAGAAACUCAACCUAAAAACAUUCAACAGCUUCAGGUAGAGAGGCUAAAGCUUGCCUAGAGAAGGAAUUUAAAUACUUAUUUGGGGAUAUGGCCAUGCUGGUACACAUCUAUAAUCCCAGCACUCAAGAGGCUGAGGCAGAAGGAUCACUGAGAGUUCAAACCCAGCCUGGACUACAUAAUGAAACCCUGCCUCAAAAAAAGAAAAAAAAGGCAUUUGGGAUUGAGGUGCCAUACUCUCAGUGUACUAAGAGGACCAGAAGACUAUCUAGAGAAAAUGCUUAUUUGUAAAGCCAUGUACACCCUGGAAGAAGGUGACUUUAAUCUAUGAUGUCUCUCCAAAACUAUUACUUACACAACACAGCAAAUUUUCUCUUUGCUGAGACAUGCAAAAAGGAAAAGAAGAAUUCCCAUUUUCUCAAUGUUAUCAUGUAUUGAAUUUAAGCAACCACUUUCAGCAUUUUUAAAUGAAAUAUUAAAAAGGGUUUGUACGAAUCCUUUCCCUGCCCUCAAAAUGUUGCAAUACUGCUCCCACAAAAGAAAACUGCUAUAACCUAUCUGGCCUCAGAGUUGUUUUUGUUUUUUAUUUUUUUUCAUUCCUUCAUCAUCCAUUACAAAUCUCCAGACUUAGAUGUUCAAGCAUUCCCUGCACUGACCACAGAUAGUGGUAGACGUCCAUGGCUAUCCAAGGGUCUUUCAAUGAAACCAUCUUUUCAUCAACUGUAAACAAGCGCUAAACUCUUGGCUCCAUAGAGAGUCCCUACAAGUCAGUAUACAAUCUGACAGGGGCAGAGGUCAAGGAGAUGAGAAUUCUACCUAAACUCUGGAUCUCAUACCACCCUCCCCCUGUUCAAAAGAAUUCUUAUCAGCAGAGAACUCCCCUGUAGAGGCCACAUUCAGGAGACCCAGCAGAUUCAGCUGAAGCUUGGGAAGCAGGCUCCAUAUCAGGAACAGAAUGUUGUGGAGAAAAGGCGAUGUAAGGAGGAAAAGCAGAGAUUUAUGAAUUUAGCUUACUUUGCUUCAAGAAAGACCUGUCUAAUAACUGACAGAACAAACCUGAACUUGAGAAGAAAUCUCUUUCAGAACCUAUUCCUCUUUUGUUCAAAUCAUCCCAAUAUAUGCAAAAGAUGCCCAAAUGACACUUUAAAAAUCUUCAUUCUUUUGUACAUAAAAAGCCCCACUAUGGAUGCUAUAAAUGAUUAUACUGGCUUAAAUUCUCCUACCAUUAUUAGCACCCAAGACUUCACAAUCAAGAGAGCCACCAACCAGACAUACUAGUUAAGCAGGGGCUCUGAAGUCAUAUUUCACUAUGACUUUUGGGGUGAGUCAUUUACUCCUUCAAUCUAACAGUUCUUAUUUGUAAAGCAGAGA
Molecule: long non-coding RNA, 1741 nt
Organism: Fukomys damarensis (Damara mole-rat)
Lineage: Eukaryota; Metazoa; Chordata; Mammalia; Rodentia; Bathyergidae
Exons: 4
Source: RefSeq, a predicted model, not a curated record